Long non-coding RNA from Hemicordylus capensis (graceful crag lizard), 2657 nucleotides. RefSeq lists it as uncharacterized. Lineage: Eukaryota; Metazoa; Chordata; Lepidosauria; Squamata; Cordylidae. The transcript has 7 exons. The record is from RefSeq and is a predicted model, not a curated record.
UUAUAGCCACGCCACUGGACUUGAUGGAAGUAAGAGAGGAAAUGUCACACAGGUGUCCCAGGAGGCAAUUCCAAGCAUAAGGGGCAAGAAGGAAGAAAGGAUGGAGAUGUCGGUGAAAUUCAAAACAUCUACAGAUGGUUGAUGGUGGUGCAGCUGGAGCACUGCUUUUCCUGGGAGGCCAAGCAACAUUCAUUCAGAAAGGAACCCACAUGGUUUAUCAAUACAGCCAUUACCAGAGGAACAUGGGAAAGGAGCAGGAGGAAGCAUCUCUGAAGCUGCUGUGGCAAGAAAGAAAGAAACGACCCGAAAGCAAAGCUGGUUUUCAGCAGCCUCUCUGCUCCCAAAAGCAACUGGCAUCAAAGUCUAAUGAAAACCUGUUUGCGGACACUGGAUCCAUUCCAAGUCUGCCUCUGAAGAAAACAUUUGUGGACAAUUUAACUGAGUUGGAACCCAGAUGGUAAAAAACACCAGAGACACAAGCCAUUAGGAAGAUUUGUUAAAAAUGUUGACAGAUAUCAGUCUCUGGUGUUCUUAGGGAAUGACUGACCAAGAUGAAAAAGCCUUCAAACUUUAGAAUGCUUCCAGAGCUGGGAAGGUCCACUUGCUGGCAUGAUAGUGUCAGUGACAAGAGUUCUGCAUGGGCCCCAUCAUCUCCCUGAAGAGUAGGGUUUUCCAGCCAAUGCUCUUUCUUUUGCUGCCCUAUUGAAGGUCAGAGUGGAUGGUCAAUAGAUAGAGGAAGUAUGUUGGGCGCCAAAUGACAUUGUUCUAAUAAACAGCUUGCGUGUUAGAGGCAGACAGUGCAGAUGCUAAUGGGUUCCUCCACUGGGAUAAAAUGUCUUGUCUCCAUUAAACCCAUAGAGUGUGACAAUUAACACCAGCUGAAGAGGUGUCCAGCUGCAUUUUCAUAUGUUUGGGACCACCUAUUCUCUAACACAGCUUGUAAAAAUGAUUCAAAUCUGCCAGCAGGCUGAAUUUGUAAAAACACUGUUAUGUUCUUUUACAAAUACAACAGUGAAAUAUUAGCAAUAGCCGGAGUAUAACAUCCCAAAUGAAUGCAGUACUGAAGAUAACCAAAACCAAAGACGAUAUCCUGGUUUGUUGAUGUCAGUGCAAUCAAUCAUAAAUUGCCAUAAAUCCUCCAUUGUCGUAAAUAAAUGCUUGUUGUAGUAUAGUGGUAUUGUGGUAUUAGCCCAGGACAAGGAAGGCCGGAAUGAGAGUUGUAAAGCACAUCUGACAGAAAGGAUUGCUGUCUUCUCACAAGGUGAGUUUGUGGAAGAGUGUACCCAGUAAUCAGGGGCGUAACAAGGCUGGAGUGGGCCCAGAGACAAAAUUUUAAAAUGGGCCCCUCGCUGUUGCACACACACACACUUCACAAUAUAUAGUCAUGUGACUUGCCUCUGGGGGGCCCCUUGAGGCAUGGGGGCCCCCAGGCAGCCGCCUCCCCUUACCUAAUGGUAGUUACGCCCCUGCCAGUAAUCUCAAUAAUCCAAAAUUCAGAAGAAGAAAAAAUAUCGUGAGAGAAGUAUUAUGGUUCAAAGGAGAAAGAUUGGGGGCUUCUGAUGAUCGCAAGAUGUUCAUAGUAUAAUAAUAAUUUAAAUAUUAAUGUUCUCCACAGAUAUAAGUGCAGUUUUAUAUUGAUUUUUGCACUGUUGAUGCAAGUAUUUGCAUUUAAUUAUUUAUUCUUCUGCAUUCCUGCCUAGUCUCAACUAUCAAUUGUUUCAUGUUUCCCAUAUUAUGGCUGAAUGAUCUGUAGCCUUAUCUUUAAUGGCAAUGUGGUUCCCACCCCACCCCCAACAGUGAUGGAUGGUAUAGACAUUUGCUGUGCACAUGCUGAUAGAGUUCCAGGAACUGUACGUUGCCAUAUUUUUAUUAAUGGUUGUUGGCACAAAGAACCUUUCACUGAAGUCAGUGACAAAACUUCCAUUCAUCUUAAUGGAGCUUGAUUGCACUUCCAUCCAUGUGCUCUCAAGACAGCUGCACACAUCUUGCUGCACCCUCUCAAACAUCAUGUCUAGGUGGGACAUGGAAUCACGCAUGUGGUUGCUUCCAGAUGCGGAUUCACAGCUUCUCUCUAGCCGGAAACACCUUGGUUACAAUGACAAGAUACAGUUUAAUCAUUAUCCAAGUAUGAGCAUGAAGUGGUUGCCACAUCCGACCUACCCAGCACAAGGACGACUGUGCUCUGAAGAGCACAUUUCCUGAGUCUGUAGUUGUCUCCUGCUGGUAAACCCUGAAAACAGGACUCCUGAUACAUUUGUUUUCCCCUCCAACAUCAGUCUUUUGUGAGCACAAACAUUCUUGGGGGUGAAGAUUACUUUCUAUACAUCAACAAAACAACUCAAAAAAAGAAAAAGAAAGAAAAAGAAGAAGAAGUAAGUUUCAAAAUCCCUUUCUUCCAAUAUUUAUUUUCAAUCUCAAGCAGUGCAGCUCCACAGGCUGGUAAAAGAAGGAACAGUUUAGAUGUCACAAUCUAGUCUUUCCUGUCUUCAAAGUCUACUAACAAACAAAACAAUGGAUAGUGCCAUCUAUGCAAUUUUCCAGCAUUUGAUUAGAUGUUCAGUUUUACUUGCAGACGUAUAUGUAUUUAAGUGAGAUGCUUCAUUAAGCUAAUGAGAAAUAAAGUGACAUUUUCAAAAUCCUCCAAGUGUGUUGAGGAC